CCAUUAACUGGGACUACAAUAGCUCAAGUUUGAUCACAAAACAUACUGUUAACCACACUAGAUCGCUUUGCUAGCUGUUGGGGCAACAGAACCUACAGAGCUUUGCCAGAGUCAAAGUUAUCAAAAAUCAUAAUUGCCCAUAAUCAAUUUCGAAAUGUAUGAAUUAUGCACUACUCUGGAAAAGUAUAUAUUUGUCAUCAAAUGUUCAAAUGCAGGUUCAUUUUUCAAUUUCUCUUUGGUCAAUUCAUUCUACCAUUGCAGACAAGUUCACAAUGGCUUGGGAUGAUGGUGAGUGCCAGCAUAAAACCCCUGUGCAUAAGCAGUAUUCUUGAACAUUAUAGCAAGGCUUUUCAAAUCUGAGCUAAGACGCUUUUUAAUAUUGUCAGCAACCACGGUUCCAAGAUGUUCACCAUGUUGCCUGAUAGAGUCCUCUUUAAUCUCUGACAGCAGAAGACUGGAAGUUCUAUUCAGAAUCUCUUCCACAAGAAGCCCAGCAUCUGAGAAAACACUUGGCUGAUGUGCAGCAACAGCUAGCUUGUCUUUAACAUUUUUUACAGCAACAGGUACCUUGGUAGUUUUUACUGUAGUAGCUGUGGACUUCUUAAAGGCAGAAACAGGAUUUUCAGUAUGACCUUGCAAGGGAACAGUCUUUUCCGGAGGAUCAGACAGAAUAGUGGAACCAGAUGGAACAAAAGCUGCCAGAUCAGGAGGUUGGUUGAUCCUUUCCUACUGGUGGAUUAGCCUCCAGGUCAACGAAUGUGGCCUCUCUCCCCACUGACUUAAGAAACUUGUCAAGAUCAUUAGCAUGAAGAGAAAUUGACAUAUCAUUAGAUAGUGGAUGGAAGAAGCAAUGCUCUUGUGUUCUAAAUCCUUUGUCCAGCAAGAGUGACACAUGUCUUGCUGACUCAUUCACCAGUGCAAAAGGAGUAACACAACCCAGAGGAACCUGAAGUAUCUCACCCAAUGCUUCUUCAGGAGCCAUUCUUAUACCUCCUUUUCCCAAACCAAGCCUUUGAGAUAAAACUUUCAUGUCUACUUUCGUAUCUGCCAAAGCAGAAACAAUAUAUAAUCUACUUUUCUUGUCCUUCAAGAAUAAAUUUUUAGUCAGUCCACCUCCCUUAUCACCCACAUAUUUCGCCUGGGCUUCAACAGUCAAAACGGUGGGAUGUUCAUACUGAGCAAAAUCAAUUUGAAGCUCCUUUAAGCGAGCAAGUAGCUGAUCCUUCGUAUAACCCAUACCGUCCUUCGAAGUAAAUCUGCUUGAUGAACCAGAGAGGCCGAAGAAGCGUUAGCAACGAAGAAGAAACGUAGAAGCGGAGGACACAGAAAC
RNAcentral lists this unclassified non-coding RNA (1330 nucleotides) under Hevea brasiliensis (rubber tree). Lineage: Eukaryota; Viridiplantae; Streptophyta; Magnoliopsida; Malpighiales; Euphorbiaceae. The record is from RNAcentral.